GUUCAGUUAGCCUGGCGCGUCUCGUUGAGUAGGAUGCGGUCUGUUGUUAAGGGUACCGGUUGGUGAAAAUAUUACGAUAAAAUUCCGAGUUUGCUUUUUCCUAAAUGCUUGAGUUACAUCUGAUAAUAUUGAUAAGAUAUCUUGCGUAGACUGUUUGAGGUUAUAUGGGAGGUUAAUUCGUAAGUUAAAUUUACACGUUUCACGUAAAGAAAAAAUUAAAAGUUAUCUGGCUGACAGUAAACAGCAAUUUUAGUUUUUGAUUGAACAUUGAUUAUUUUAUUAAAACUUGAGACACUGUUUCAAAGCUUGGUUCGAUGUGUAGUAAGGAAUAAUUUUGUUUGAUUCCUGAGGACAGAAGGAUCAAUUAGAAAAUUUGCUGUCCAAAAUAACCCUAAUCAUGAAUAGGCUUAGAACUAUAAUAGUGUUUCUGCUGUGUUUAUAUUUUAAUGGACUUAAUCCAGAAGAAAGUGUUGACAACGGAAGUUUGGUCACACCAUCUUUCUCCCUUGACAGUCAAAUAAAAGGAUUUAAUAGUACAAAUCUAACAUCUGGAAUAAUAGUUUUAGUGGAUGAAAGAACUCUGUUUAUUGCAGAUAUUUAUCAGAAAAAUGUUCGAAGUAUUAAUCUAGAAUUUUGGGCAGGUGCAGGUGAUAGUCCAGAGAACGAUAGCAGCAAAAAACUCGUAGCAAAUAAAACGGAUUUGGCUGUGUCGUCUAAUAUUUAUAUCACUCUACCGACAGAUCUGAGCUUAGAUGUCAUCAAUUAUUUAGAAGUAUCUUUGAACAAUCAGUCAUUGGCAUAUGUAAAUUUGAGUGAAAUUAAUAGGACCGCAAUACCAACUUAUAAUCAGCAUAACCAGAAAGAUACAAUUUACAGAUUACCAAAAUGUUGCCCACCGGACCAAUAUAUCAAUUUUUCAACGGAAGGUUGCGUUCAGGCCGUAAGAGAAGUGCAGCUCAAUAUAACCCUCUUUGAGAGCAACCAUACCGGUCUAGAUCCAAACGUUACAGUUAAUCCUUCUGAAUAUCAAUUGGCGCCUUAUUACCAAAUGCCCAAUUGUUCACGAUUAGGAGAAUUUUACAGACUAGUAGAAACCAUAGAUAUACAAGGAAUCAUUUAUAACUCUUCACUAAUUAUUGAACACUUUGGCAUACUAUCUCAUCAGAAUUUUUGCAUUGAUGUUGUUAUAGACGACUAUCCCAGAGACCUGAUCUGUCAUUGUCACUAUAUACCUUUGGUUAAUCCUGAUCCAAAUUUUUAUUUACCAGUGUUGAGUUUGUCGGUGGUUGGUUUUGCAUUAUCAGCUAUAGCUUAUGGAUUAGUUUUAAAGGCUAAAGAUUUACACAAAAUUUCUUUGGCUAUUUUCUGCUCUUCCAUGUGUAUUGCUUUUAUAUCCUUGAUAAUAAUGCAAAUUCAAAGCAAUCAUGUAGCCUGUAAUAUAUUUGGAUCUGUGUUUUUAUUAACGUUAGUAAUGUCCUUUCUGUGGCUGCUAAUUUUGUGCCUAGAACUACUAUACUUGGUGAAAUAUCCUAUUGAAGAAGAACGCCAGGAGACUAGAUGGCAAUGGUACACAGGAUUGUCUGUGGGAAUUUCAAUUUUUCUGUUUAUAAUUUCGCUAGUUUCUGGAAGUUUAGGAGUCCCAGAUGUACCAAGCAAUAUAAUUAAAUACUAUGGAAUAUAUCCAGAUGUUUGUAUGUUUGAUACCUCAGCCGACAGAGCAUAUAUUGUAUUCACACCAAUAAUUAUUUCAAUAGUUGGGUCAAUAAUAAGCCUUAUUGUGUUGCAGAUAUUCUUUAAUAAAAAUGAAAAUAACGGACACAUAAGAAAUCACGUAGACUGGAUGUUUAACUUUAAUAGUUACAAAUUUCUGUAUGUGGAAUCCAAUAUUGUACUCCUCGGUGAAAAUAUUCUCAAAUACUUUUUCGUCGACGACAUUUUUUCUUUACGAAAGAUGAUCCAUCUUUGAAGUAAAUUGGAUAAGUUUUUGAACUCCUGCGGCAAAUAUACACGAUUUGAAUCUUUUCGAGAAUAGUGGAAUGGAAUGGCUGGAAGGGAUUUAACAAGGUAUUUCUGACGUUGUGGCUAAAUUAACUAAUAUUUUAAUUAUAUUCUUAAAACCAUAACAUUUUUAUUCCAGUGCCAUUCAUUUUUAUCUGAAAUGGAACCGUUUAUUAAAAAUUUUAAAAAAAAUUAUUUAAAGCAGGUUUUAUCCAACAUUUUGCAUAGUCGUAAUUGUAAUCAGUAUUACAGUACCACUUUGAUAUGUAAAUCGGUUAUGCUUAUGACAUGUUUAACUUUUAUGAUUAAAACUGUGAUUAUGACUAAGACUAAAUAUUUUUUGUAUGAAUCCGGACUUCUAAAACGAUUUUCCACUUAGAAUAACAAAAUAAUAAGGCACAUUUGGCUUUCUUUUUUUUUAAAUUAGGUAUUGGAAUUUUUAAUCUAAUGACAAGUCUUUAUAUUUUAAAGGGACCCGAUAAUAACCGGAAAAGUGUAUGAAAUUUUUGUAAAUUUUAAAUGGUAUAUUGCACUGUUUCUCGCACAAUGCCUAAAUGUGGGUUCCAGGGUUAUGAUUAUUAGCCUUUAUUAGGGCACGCAAAGAAAACGCAGCUUUAUAUCGUUAAACCCAGCUUUAGUAUUGAAAGAUAAAUCAAUGUCAUAAUUGACAACUAAUUUAAUCUAUAACCUCAAUUCAAAAAAAAAAUAAAUACAAAGACAGUAAUGCUCUAAUACUUAAGUUAUAAUUAUGAAAUUUAAAAUCAUGAGAAAGAAAAUAAAGUAAAAUUUAGCACUUAAUACUUAUUCAAUUGUACAUCUGAUAAUACCUCGCAUAUACGUAUAUACUCAGUUCCCAAUUUCAAAUCAAAUCAGUGAUGGUGGUUAUAUAAACAAUUUUACUAAAUUGAAUUUAAAAUCUGUGAUCAUUUCUACAUAUUAAUUAAAAAAAAAAAAUAAUCUAUAAAUUGCGACGAACCGAUAAAUCAAUACCUGGAGAAACCAAGCCAAAAAGAAAAAGGGACUACCUGAAAUUCUGAGUAUCUCCGACUGGUAGCAGGGCCCACCUGAUCUGAAUGGGGCUCCUUUGUUGGCAACUAUACGUUUGGGUCAAAAGAGGCAGCAGCAGAUCGACCAGUUAGGAUGCUUCCAGAAUGUCUAGCAGGUAGUGGAGGGCAAUCGGUAUUAGGUGUAGCCGAUUGGAAGGAAUGCAGGUUCCGGAGGUGAUGAUCCAAGCGACUUGAUGUGGUAACACGUGGAGUAGCAAGUGAGGUGGAAGCAGUAACAAUAAAAAUGCAGCAAAAGCAGAAGCAGAGGAUAAGCAGAAAGGUACAGGAAGGCCUAAAAAUGGGGACCACACAUGAGGUUCGACAUGGCUGUCAAUUUUAUGGCAUUUUUGUGUGGAUCGGGUAUGUUAGGAGGGACCAUCUUAACGGUAUCAUAUCUGUGUAGUAUGUAUAUUUAUGUAUGAUUUUUAAAUAAAUUAUUUUAUGAAACUA
Molecule: unclassified non-coding RNA, 3494 nt
Filed under: Anthonomus grandis grandis
Lineage: Eukaryota; Metazoa; Arthropoda; Insecta; Coleoptera; Curculionidae
Description: uncharacterized LOC126740058
Source: RNAcentral